GGGGAUGAUCGGUUUCGACGAUUGCUUUGAAUCAGAGGAAGCGGGUCGAGAAUGUGCAGUCAUCUCGUUAACGUCCUGCACAAACCAAUAGGUGCCGAACACAAGAGCACCGACUUCGCCCUCGCUGCCUAAGCUAGCGGGGACUCAAGAAGUCCGUCGGCCUGGGGUUGCUCUCACCCCAGCCACCGGCGUCGCAUAGAGAGCCACUGCUCCACGGCCGCGUUGCCCGGUCGUGGGGGACUCUUAGGCAACUGAGCCCGUCGGCAGCGAGUCCGCGCGACUGCCGGGGCCGAGAAAAGCGCUAGCGGACUGCACCCGGAGAAGCUCUGGCUCAGAAGUGAUCGGACGCGGGUUCGAUUCCCGCCAUCUCCACUA
This 375-nucleotide transfer-messenger RNA is filed under the name Bowdeniella nasicola. It matches the Rfam family "transfer-messenger RNA". From Rfam's summary of the family: Bacterial tmRNA, also known as 10Sa RNA or SsrA, is named for its dual tRNA and mRNA-like properties. Its role is to liberate the mRNA from a stalled ribosome. Lineage: Bacteria; Bacillati; Actinomycetota; Actinomycetes; Actinomycetales; Actinomycetaceae. The record is from RNAcentral.